This 849-nucleotide ribosomal RNA is filed under the name uncultured archaeon. RNAcentral's name for it is "bacterial SSU rRNA". It matches the Rfam family "Archaeal small subunit ribosomal RNA", at positions 471 to 1318 of the family's 1478-position model. The record is from RNAcentral.
UAACACCGGCAGCCCGAGUGGUGAUCACUAUUAUUGGGUCUAAAGGGUCCGUAGCCGGUUUAAUCAGUCUUCUGGGAAAUCUAAUCGCUUAACUAUUAGGCUUCCAGGGGAUACUGUUAGACUUGGGACCGGGAGAGGUAAGAGGUACUGCAGGGGUAGGAGUGAAAUCUUGUAAUCCCUGUGAGACCACCAGUGGCGAAGGCGUCUUACCAGAACGGGUCCGACGGUGAGGGACGAAAGCUGGGGGCACGAACCGGAUUAGAUACCCGGGUAGUCCCAGCUGUAAACGAUGCUCGUUAGGUGUCAGGAACGGUGCGACUGUUUCUGGUGCCGAAGGGAAGCCGUGAAACGAGCCACCUGGGAAGUACGGCCGCAAGGCUGAAACUUAAAGGAAUUGGCGGGGGAGCACUACAACGGGUGGAGCCUGCGGUUUAAUUGGACUCAACGCCGGAAAACUCACCGGGGGCGACAGCAAUAUGUAGGUCAGGUUAAAGGUCUUACCUGAAUCGCUGAGAGGAGGUGCAUGGCCGUCGUCAGUUCGUACUGUGAAGCAUCCUGUUAAGUCAGGCAACGAGCAAGACCCGUGCCCACUGUUACCAGCAUAUCCUUUAUGGAUGAUGGGGACUCUGUGGGGACCGCUGCUGCUAAAGCAGAGGAAGGUGCGGGCUACGGUAGGUCAGUAUGCCCCGAAUCUCCCGGGCUACACGCGGGCUACAAUGGUUGGGACAAUGGGUAUCUACUCCGAAAGGAGUUGGCAAUCUCUUAAACCCAAUCGUAGUUCGAAUUGAGGGCUGUAACUCGCCCUCAUGAAGCUGGAAUCCGUAGUAAUCGCGUUUCAACAUAGCGCGG